GAUGAAGAACGCAGCGAAAUGCGAUACGUAAUGUGAAUUGCAGAAUUCAGUGAAUCAUCGAGUCUUUGAACGCACAUUGCGCCCUCUGGUAUUCCGGAGGGCAUGCCUGUCCGAGCGUCAUUGCUGCCCUCAAGCACGGCUUGUGUGUUGGGCCCCGUCCUCCUUCCGGGGGACGGGUCCGAAAGGCAGCGGCGGCACCGCGUCCGGUCCUCAAGCGUAUGGGGCUUUGUCACUCGCUUUGUAGGCCUGGCCGGCGCUUGCCGAUCAACCAAACUUUUUAUCAGGUUGACCUCGGAUCAGGUAGGGAUGCCCGCUGAACUUAAGCAUAUCAAUAAGCGGAGGA
This 343-nucleotide unclassified non-coding RNA is filed under the name soil metagenome. RNAcentral describes it as "partial contains 5.8S ribosomal RNA, internal transcribed spacer 2, and large subunit ribosomal RNA". The stretch from base 1 to 120 matches the Rfam family "5.8S ribosomal RNA", at positions 35 to 154 of the family's 154-position model. The record is from RNAcentral.